GACAUCUCCCAUCAUCCAAGAGUUGCACUAGGGCAUCUGAAGGCUGGGAAGAACAUCAAGAGAUAGUGCAAGGCCCUUCCUGAGAGUGCUGAACCAGGUUCCCUGUGACUGGUAUCUGAGUAACUAAGAUGGGCAUCUAUACAGAGCAAGGACUAUUUGCUGAAUGAAUGGAUGAAUUUACCAUGUCAAUUGAAGGAUUAGAUCCAUCUACUCAUUGGAUUAUUUAAAGACAGCUAAAACCUACAGAGUCAAGAAUCUUCACCGAUUGCGGAUGAAUACAGGUGGAAGGAGUUGGUAUAUCUAGUUGUGGAUCAAUAUGCUAAACAAAAUCAAAUGCUAUUGGACAUUUUAGACCACAAUGACAGAGGAGAGGAAUCAGAAGUCUCAGUCCUGGAUGUAGCUGUGCAGAUUUCAGUGAACCGAACCACGUUGCCUUCUUGCUGACCAGCCUUUCUUAUGUAAAAUGGGAUCAUAAUGGCCGCCUGGAGCUUCAAAGGAGAUUACUAUUUAGAUGGAGAAGCACGAUGGUCAUGCCUGGU
Molecule: long non-coding RNA, 539 nt
Filed under: Cricetulus griseus (Chinese hamster)
Lineage: Eukaryota; Metazoa; Chordata; Mammalia; Rodentia; Cricetidae
Description: lncRNA (ENSCGRG00000024662.1)
Source: RNAcentral